Molecule: long non-coding RNA, 2472 nt
Organism: Anguilla rostrata (American eel)
Lineage: Eukaryota; Metazoa; Chordata; Actinopteri; Anguilliformes; Anguillidae
Exons: 2
Source: RefSeq, a predicted model, not a curated record
UUCAGGUGGACAUGACGGGCAUGCUAUCUUACUCUGUUGUUUGCCUUAACCUUGGCGAACCGAGUAUAUCUGCCUAAUAGGAUCCCUCUAUAGCCUACUCGACUCGAAGGUGUACUCCCAUAGAUGUGACAGAAGAUGCAAGCAAACAGUAGCAUCACCAGAGGAAGUGGAGAGAAUGGAACGUCUCAACACGUGACCACAGUACACCAACCUCAAAACCGGAACACACCAGAUCAAUCUCAAGAUACAUUCAUACUGAACCAGACAGGAAAGCAUGUAGUUAUGCAAGGGAUACUGGGAAAUUCGAAAAGCUUUGGAUUGCUUGUUGGUGGCAAUAUGUCCCCUGGCAUAUUGAAUGAUGCCUGCAGUGGAUACACUGAAGUUGAGCAGGCCUUUGAUUACUGGAUGACGGGUCUCGAUCAUGUCAGUAAUGACAAAACAGGAGAUGCUGGUCAGGAGUUCAGUCAUGAGGUACAAAAAAAUCUUGUCGGUCAGGAACCACCUCCAGUCAAGCAGGAGACAAAAAUAUUGACUCAUACCUCCAAAGCUGGAUUGUCAACUCAAGCUGGAUACUGUGUGAGGAAUCCUCAGUGGAAAUGUGAUUCUACUGAAAAGGAAAAUGAGAAGUUGGAGGGCUCUGGUUUGUCAGGUGAUCCAUUUGUUAAUAGGAAAGGGAGUUUGAUUGGAAAUGCUUGUCAUCAAGGAAAUGACAAAUAUUAUAAACACGAGAAUCUGGAUUUGAAAGAUUUGCCACAUUCCACACCUCUUGAAAACCACCGUGUUUUUUGUGCUUCCCAUAUAGAGAUGGAAAGUAGAGAAUUAAAACGUAAACCUCAGGAUAUCAAAGGGGAAGAUGCAUUUUGGUCAGAGGGUGAGAGUUUACCACAGUUUGAUGUAUGGAGGGAGAGUCUGAAAGAAAGUGAUUGCCAACAUACUAGUAAUGAGGAUAUUAAACCGGAUUGUUUGGAUUCAAAAGAAUUGUUCAAAGCCAUGCCUGCUGAAAACCACCAUAGUCCCCAGGUAAAGAUGGAAGGUCAGAAAUUAAAAUUUGAACCUCAGGAUAUAAAAAAGGAAGAUGGGUUUUGGUCAGAGGGUAUGGGUUUACCACAGUUUGAUUUAUGGAGGGAGAGUCUGAAAAAAGGUGAUUGCAACAUACUGUAAUGAGGAUAUUAAACCGGGUUGUUUGGAUUCAAAAGAAUUGUUCAAAGCCAUGCCUGCUGAAAACGACCAUGGUCCCCAGGUAACGAUGGAAGGUCAAAAAUUAAAAUUUGAACCUCAGGAUAUAAAAAAGGAAGAUGGGUUUUGCUCAGAGGGUAUGGGUUUACCACAGUUUGAUUUAUGGAGGGAGAGUCUGAAAAAAGGUGAUUGCCAACAUACUAGUAAUGAGGAUAUUAAACCGGAUUGUUUGGAUUCAAAGGAAUUGUUCAAAGCCAUGUCUGCUGAAAACCAUCAUAGUCCCCAGGUAAAGAUGGAAGGUCAAAAAUUAAAAUUUGAACCUCAGGAUAUAAAAAAGGGAGAUGGGUUUUGUUCAGAGGGUAUGGGUUUAUCACAAGACCAGUUUCACACAUGGAGGGAGAGUUUUAAAGACGUUCACCAACAUAUCGAUAAACUCAGUUCUGCAGAUUCAAAAGAGUUGUUGGAAUCCCUGCCUUUUGUAAAUUGCAGUAUUUCUCAGGUAAAGAUGGAAAGUCAAGAAUUAAAAUGUGAACCUCAAAAUAACUGUGAGCAAGAUGUAAUUUGGUCAAAGGGUGUGGAGUUUUCACAAAACCAGUUUAAUGCAAGUUUUGAAAGUGAAGUUCACCAGCAUGCAAGCGACAAAGUUGCGAAAACUGCUUACCUAAAGAAGCCCAUUUGUGUUUCUCAGAUAAAAAUUGAAAAUAAAAAAAUAAAAUGUGAACCUCGGGACAUGGAAGAGGGCGAAGUCAUGUUGUCUGAGGCUUUGGGGCAUAUUAAAAAUGAACGGCAGGAAGUGAACAAAGCUGAAAGGGAGAAUAUUCAUAAAUCAGGAAAGAGGUUUGUGAAAACCCAAAUCAGACUGGAGUCUUCUCAGAUGGAGAUUGAUCAUCAUUUUGUGAGGAAACAGGAGAAGGCUGUAAAGCCAGAUUCAAGAAAUCUAGAAAUCUCCCCAGGACUAAGAAAUGAUUUACAAAAUACGUUUCAUGUAAAACACGAAAGGGAAGUGAAUGCCGAGUGUCUUGGGGUGAAAAAAGAGGAUCCUGUUUGGACUGUAAAUUCUAUAAAGCAGGAAAUCUAUACCGAUGGGAGGUCUGACUGCAGGGUUUCUGUGGAUCCCAUUUGGGCUUCCCAUAGUUUGCAGACUCAGUCGAAGAUUGCCAACACAGAUAAUAUAUGCAAUGACAAAAAAAGCUUUCCUAAAAAUGUGCCAGAGUGCACCAAAUCUGUGGACUUUAAAGCUGAAUCAUAUUUGAAAGAUGAGGAUCCCAAUUGGGCUUUUCAUUGCUUUUCAAGAAG